AUUGAACGCUGGCGGCAUGCUUUACUCAUGCAAGUCGAACGGUAACAGGCCGCAAGGUGCUGACGAGUGGCGAACGGGUGAGUAAUGCAUCGGAACGUGCCCAGUCGUGGGGGAUAACUACUCGAAAGAGUAGCUAAUACCGCAUACGAUCUAUGGAUGAAAGCGGGGGACCGUAAGGCCUCGCGCGAUUGGAGCGGCCGAUGUCAGAUUAGGUAGUUGGUGGGGUAAAGGCUCACCAAGCCAACGAUCUGUAGCUGGUCUGAGAGGACGACCAGCCACACUGGGACUGAGACACGGCCCAGACUCCUACGGGAGGCAGCAGUGGGGAAUUUUGGACAAUGGGCGCAAGCCUGAUCCAGCAAUGCCGCGUGCAGGAAGAAGGCCUUCGGGUUGUAAACUGCUUUUGUACGGAACGAAACGGCUCUGGUUAAUACCCGGGGCUAAUGACGGUACCGUAAGAAUAAGCACCGGCUAACUACGUG
This 482-nucleotide ribosomal RNA is filed under the name uncultured bacterium. RNAcentral describes it as "partial 16S ribosomal RNA". It matches the Rfam family "Bacterial small subunit ribosomal RNA", at positions 30 to 507 of the family's 1533-position model. The record is from RNAcentral.